ACGCUGGCGGCAGGCUUAACACAUGCAAGUCGAACGGUAACAGGAGAAAGCUUGCUUUCUUGCUGACGAGUGGCGGACGGGUGAGUAAUGCUUGGGAAUCUGGCUUAUGGAGGGGGAUAACGACGGGAAACUGUCGCUAAUACCGCGUAGAGUCGAGAGACGAAAGUGCGGGACCGCAAGGCCGCAUGCCAUAGGAUGAGCCCAAGUGGGAUUAGGUAGUUGGUGGGGUAAUAGCCUACCAAGCCGACGAUCUCUAGCUGGUCUGAGAGGAUGACCAGCCACACCGGGACUGAGACACGGCCCGGACUCCUACGGGAGGCAGCAGUGGGGAAUAUUGCGCAAUGGGGGCAACCCUGACGCAGCCAUGCCGCGUGAAUGAAGAAGGCCUUCGGGUUGUAAAGUUCUUUCGGUAUUGAGGAAGGUUGUUGUGUUAAUAGCACGACAAAUUGACGUUAAAUACAGAAGAAGCACCGGCUAACUCCGUGCCAGCAGCCGCGGUAAUACGGAGGGUGCGAGCGUUAAUCGGAAUAACUGGGCGUAAAGGGCACGCAGGCGGACUUUUAAGUGAGGUGUGAAAUCCCCGGGCUUAACCUGGGAAUUGCAUUUCAGACUGGGAGUCUAGAGUACUUUAGGGAGGGGUAGAAUUCCACGUGUAGCAGUGAAAUGCGUAGAGAUGUGGAGGAAUACCGAAGGCGAAGGCAGCCCCUUGGGAAUGUACUGACGCUCAUGUGCGAAAGCGUGGGGAGCAAACAGGAUUAGAUACCCUGGUAGUCCACGCUGUAAACGCUGUCGAUUUGGGGAUUGGGCUUUAAGCUUGGUGCCCGAAGCUAACGUGAUAAAUCGACCGCCUGGGGAGUACGGCCGCAAGGUUAAAACUCAAAUGAAUUGACGGGGGCCCGCACAAGCGGUGGAGCAUGUGG
This 920-nucleotide ribosomal RNA is filed under the name uncultured bacterium. Its description in RNAcentral is "bacterial SSU rRNA". It matches the Rfam family "Bacterial small subunit ribosomal RNA", at positions 33 to 944 of the family's 1533-position model. The record is from RNAcentral.